UGUGUAGGCGGUAUUGUUAGUCUCUCGUAAAAGCUUUUGGGCUUAACCCAGAAAAUGCGGGGGAAACGGCAGUACUUAGAGGACGCGAGAGGUAAAGGGAACUCAAGGUGUAGGGGUGAAAUCCGUUGAUAUCUUGGGGAACACCAAAUGCGAAGGCACUUUACUGGCGCGCUCCUGACGCUGAAACACGAAAGCGUGGGAAUCGAACG
This 209-nucleotide ribosomal RNA is filed under the name uncultured bacterium. RNAcentral describes it as "partial 16S ribosomal RNA". It matches the Rfam family "Bacterial small subunit ribosomal RNA", at positions 568 to 774 of the family's 1533-position model. The record is from RNAcentral.